This is a long non-coding RNA of Peromyscus leucopus (white-footed mouse), 1652 nucleotides long. RefSeq lists it as uncharacterized. The record is from RefSeq and is a predicted model, not a curated record. NCBI's taxonomy places the organism in Eukaryota, Metazoa, Chordata, Mammalia, Rodentia, Cricetidae. The transcript has 2 exons.
UGUGUGAUUUAUUUGGGGGCUGGAUGGUGGGCCCCCCAAAGAAUAAAAAUAAAAAAUAACCAACAACAUAUUGGCAUACCAAUGUGGGCCAAAUUUCCAUGUAGGUACUGAGAAAGCUGAGAAAAAAAAAAAAAAAAAGGAAAGGAAAAAAAAGAAAAACGACACUACUUUAAGAGGCACUGCUGUUCAGUCAGCAGUGCUUAAAAACAAACAACAAACAAAGGCAAGCUAAGUAAAAUAGCUUGUGGCAAUGCAGAUACCAGCUUCCUACAGUUAGGAAGGUGGAAUGCAUGUUUGAUCAAAUACCUCUGACAGGGCUGUGAGCUUUAGGCUUGUCUUUCAGGACCCGAGAAGCAGGCAGAGCCAGCCAAGAGGGCCGCAAGGAGGAUCUAGGUAUAGCUUAGCAGUCUAAAGUUUGCUUGUGCAAUCAAAAAAGAUAUGCAGUAAAAGAAGUCUAGACAGAAAAGACCUCUAAACAGAUUCCAGUGUGUUUUACAAUGUGCAUAGGCUUAAGAAAGAAAAAGGUAUGGACAGUUAAAGAAACAAAUAGUUUAGAAAGAGUACAUUCUUUAAAGAUACAGUAAAAUUAAUAUAAAAGAAAAAAGCCACAUAAGAUGGGAAAUACACAGGGAGUCUGGAUCCUAUAUAGUAUUGUGUUGUUUUUGAAUUUUUUGAAUGCUGAUAAGCAAAAAUAGUUAAGAGGCAUGGGAUUGUGAACUGGACUGCCAAAUUGAACCAAUCAGGAUACUUUAAUGCCUUAACUUUAAAAAGAAGAAAAAAAAAUUGUCAAAUGGAAGUCAAAAAUGCUUUCAAGUUUUGUUCCCACAGAAGUCGAGAGGUUGUGGACUCCUUCAGGAAUAAUAUGGAUCAGGUUUGAUCAAGGGAGACCUACUAAAUCUUGACAGAUGGUAUCUAUCAACAACGGUUACUGCUGGUCUUCCCAGGAUUUGGCUAUUAUCUCAAAAUGUUCUUGGGGACCCUAAAGAGGCCUUCACCCACAGACAGCAAGAAGCAGUUUGGAGGACACAUUGCCCACAUUCCCAAGAGGGGUGUGGUUGACUUUUGGUUAACUGAUACAUCUGUCUGGAUCCUUGGUUCCGCUAACAGAUGCCAACCAUGCCCCCCUAGCAUGUUGGCCAAUGGACUGCUUUGUGGCUGAGGCCCUUCUGGGAUCAGAGGACACACACAGCAUGAAUGCUGAGCUGAAGAGCAAAUCCCUGAGCUAAUGGUGUCGCCUGGCCUGAGAACUCUGCACUCCAGCAGCGCUAACCCAGCACCUGGUGAAGUGGAGCCACCGCCAAGCCUGAGGGUUGGGCCAGCACCUGCCCACUCCUGUGGCUCAGCACAUCCCCUUCACUUCCGGCCUUCCGCCUAGAAACUGGUUCUGUCCCAGUACCGUUCCUGUUCAGUCCUGGAGCCUCACAGCCACAGAGGUCUGGGUCUGCGAGUUCAGAAGCUACCCACGUGGUAGGGGUCCCCCCUUAAGUUGAAGAGCGUGGCUGCCUGGGCUGCAACUGCAGGGACACCAGAAAGCCCCCCCCCCAUCACCCUCCUUCAACUGGGGCGUGGCUCAUGAGACGAGCUGCCAGAGUGAGAUGAGGAAUGUGCCUUUUGCUUUAAUGUCUAUUAAAUAAGUUGGCAGGAGAAACAAA